AGGGAGGACCAGGGCAGGAGUUGUGUUAAAGAGGCUCAAGUGCUGCGCUGCGUUCCGCACUGCUGCUGCGCCGCAAAGAAAAGUAGACUCCCUACCGAAGCCGAUCCACAUUUAAGGUUUCACAUCCUUAAAAAAAAAGACAACAACCCGAGAUCCACGUUUUCCGCGACACACCCUGGUUCCGUGACUCCGCCGCAGCAAGUGUGAACUCCGCUGGACCGUCCAGAUGUGCGGGCCCGAGCGGGAGCGACCCGGCCGGUGGUCAAGGAAUGUGUGAGCCCAAAGCCUAUACAGGGGAAGGAGGAGGAGCCGCCAUUCGGGGGGCCUUUUAAGUCCGGCUGUCCGUCACUUCCCGGGGCUGUCCGCUUGGAAGUCUGGCGCUCCCGGAGGCCCCCCCCUCCACACUCGGCCCCCGAAUGGCUGACGCACGGCAGUUCUUCACUGGCAAGCUUUAUGUUCCCGUGCACAUGCUAAAGCUGCCAGCUGAAGAACUGCUGUGGUCAGCCCCGCCCCGGAUGAGUCAAGCAGAGGAAGCGGAUGGGCGUUGCAGAGGAGAAGACGCAGGAGGGCGGUGUUUCUCACGCUCAGUCAGAACGCGACACAUUUCAGCAACCAGUGUGUUGAUAAUCUGGUUUUAAACAAAUGUAUUUUAUUGUGGGCAAUAGAGAAUGCUUAUUUGCUGGCAUUUUUCCUUAAAAAAUAAAAAAUGUUUUUCAUGCUGUUUCUUAAAAAAUAUUCUGUCAGACUGUUUUUUUUUGUUGUGGACAAAACUGCAGACUACGAACAAUAAACCUCAAACAGCACGGGAA
Gasterosteus aculeatus aculeatus (three-spined stickleback) is the source of this 809-nucleotide long non-coding RNA. RefSeq lists it as uncharacterized. Lineage: Eukaryota; Metazoa; Chordata; Actinopteri; Perciformes; Gasterosteidae. The record is from RefSeq and is a predicted model, not a curated record.